This 86-nucleotide transfer RNA is filed under the name Gammaproteobacteria bacterium. Its description in RNAcentral is "tRNA-Leu". It matches the Rfam family "tRNA". From Rfam's summary of the family: Transfer RNA (tRNA) molecules are approximately 80 nucleotides in length. Lineage: Bacteria; Pseudomonadati; Pseudomonadota; Gammaproteobacteria. The record is from RNAcentral.
GCCGAUGUGGUGGAAUAUGGUAGACACGCUGUCUUGAGGGGGCAGUGGCGCAAGCCGUGCCGGUUCGAGUCCGGCCAUCGGCACCA